GUGAACAUGAGGAGGAGACUCCACGUGGAGCUGAAAUACCAGACCCCACCCGCUGUUCUAAAACUUGUCUUGGACAAUUGCCAAUCAAGUGAUGGAAAAAUUGAGGGCUUUACAGUUGAAUUUGUGAACUUAGAGUUCCUUCAUUUAAUAACUGCAGGCUUGAUUUCAUUUUCAAAUCUCCCCUGGCUGCCAUGACAAUAGAGUCUUUGGAGAUCUGGACAUGUUAGAAACUCACACAUCUAAACUUGGAUGGAAAUACACUGAAAGAUAUCAGAACUUUAGAACCUUUGAAAAAGUUGGAACGUCUAAAGAGCCUGGACCUCUUAAACCGUGAGGUUACUAGCCUGAAUGAAGACUGGGAGAGGGUCUUCAAGCUCCUGCCCCAGCUGACCUACCUUGAUCACUAUGACCAAGAGGACCAGGAAGCCCCCAACUCAGAUGCUGAGGGGGAUGAUGUAGAUGAUGAAGAGGAGGAUGAAGAAGGAGGAAACAAGGAAAAUGAGGAGGAUAAGGAUAGUGAAGAGGAAGAGUUUGAUGGCGACGAG
Molecule: long non-coding RNA, 545 nt
Filed under: Homo sapiens (human)
Lineage: Eukaryota; Metazoa; Chordata; Mammalia; Primates; Hominidae
Description: non-protein coding lnc-PRR5-2:1
Source: RNAcentral